Molecule: unclassified non-coding RNA, 2334 nt
Filed under: Hevea brasiliensis (rubber tree)
Lineage: Eukaryota; Viridiplantae; Streptophyta; Magnoliopsida; Malpighiales; Euphorbiaceae
Source: RNAcentral
AUUAAAAAAAAAAAAAAAAAUCAAGGGGUGUAUUUCCUGGGUUUCAAAAGUUGACAUGGUAAACAAAUGUCAUCUAGGACGUGUUAAUACGUUAGCUGUGUAGAACUCAUUUCCACUUCACUGGACUUUCCUUCUGCUAUCCUCAUUAACUCUUGCUACUCUAGUCUUCUUGUUUUCUGAAGAAAAACUAACAAAAAUUGCUUCCUUCUAUAGUCCACCCCAUUUCAUGAACUUCUUGAUCUCAUCAUACAAAACCAAUAUGGCAGCAGCUCCUGUACUCCUAAACAUAUUUGACAGUGCCCCGCGAUAAAAUGAGGCCACCCCCUCUGUCCUGUAAAUUUUCCUCCAGCAGUCAAGUGUGCCACGAUACAUUGGCUGUUCCAGGCCAGAUUGCAUCAUCAUUCGCCUUCUAACUGUGUCCAACGGGUAUGACAACAGCCCAGCAGAUGUUGUGACUGCUUGAGCCACCACCCAACGCUUCCACAAUGCCAAUUCAGGUUUAGCAUCAUUAGACAAAAUCUCCUUCAUUGUAUCAAAGCCUCCAAAAUAUAGGCCCCGGUGAACUACCAUCCCGUGCAGAGAUGCAGGAAGUCCUCUAUAAAUUCCCGGAAUCCCUUCUUUCUUGCAUAUGGUAGUUAAAAAAUGGUAGAUACCUCGGAAUUGUCGAACAUCAGUUCUUCCAAUGUCAGCAGCAAGGCGGGUGUGUGCAAUAUCAAGUGGAUAGAUUAAGAUUAAUGUUGUGCAGCCAGCAGCAGCCCCCGCAAUGAAAUUGGCAGAUGCACCAGACAGAAAAUGACCAUCUUGAUGAUUGCCAUUUCUUAGUAUGUUUCUAUAAAGAUCCUGCAGCAAAAGUGGUACAUAAGACCAUACAACUGUUGCAGCAUAACAUAAACCAACCAAAUAGAGAUGUUUCUGAUUUAGUUUGAAUUUUUUAAUCAACAGAGAAUUAGGCGGUUCACAGGCCAAAUUGGUUCUAUCACAUUUUAGUUAUUAUCUUUAAUCAGAUUUCAAAGAUUUGCUAAUGCCAUGACCAGUGACACUUUGGACUUGGUUACUGAGAAUUGCUACCAAACUACUCUUCCAGGACACCAAAAUGGAUUGGUACUAAUGAAUAAUUCAGUCGCACUUUCAAGAGCUAUGAAUUCAAGAGCUACUGUAUUGUGACCUAGAAUUGGUAAGUAUAUCUUAUGUCAUAUAACUCUAGGCACCAUAAGCUUCAGCUCCAAUAUAGGUGUGAAGGUCCCUUACGAUACAUGUGGAUGCAAAAAGCAUAAUAAUUUUUACGGAGAAUAUGGGGCUGCCUACUUAUCUUCCACUUUGUGCACAAAAAUUAAAUAAUAAUACAAGACAAAUUUCAUCUCUUCAAAGUUUAAGCUGAACAGCAAUCGGCUGGACCAAACCUAUGAAAUCUUGCAAUCAACUGAAAUGCCUAUAGAGAACAAUGGCUAACCUAACUUCAUGCCCUAAGAAAAAGAUUCUGUACUCUUGUGUCCCUGACUAUACAAAAGCAUCACAGAGCAUUGAAAAGUUUAACUUGGUGAAAUAAAAGUCAAACAACCAACCUGAAAUGGGUGGAAGGUUUUAUAGAUUCUUUAAGACAUUCAAUAUCAGAGAAAUUUGUAAGUUUAAUUGUAUAUCAUUUGCACUCUUUACUCCCUUUCAUUCAUAAAAAAUGUAUUUAUUCAAGCUUUCCAAGGCAAUUAUUUUAUCUUUAUUUAAUAAAUAUUACUGAUGUAGAACCAAUAUAACAAAGAGGAAGAUAAACAAAUUCUUAAGUCUAUCGUCAAUCAUAGAAAAGAUCUACCAUGAUACCUGGAGGAUAUAGAUACUUAUAGUAAAAUUAUUUAUCGACUAGUAUUAGGAUUUGGAAUCCUUAACAAGAAAAUACCAAUUAAAUAAUAAUUAAGAACCCAAAAUCAACUCAAACUUCCUAAAUAAAAUUUCCAAAAUAAUAAAAACAUAAACUUCCUAAUUGCAAUAUAACAUCUGAAUGAAAAGAUCCUAAUUUUACUAUUAAAAAUUAAAUAAAAAUAAUUCCUACGUCUAGUUUUCCUAAACUGCAUCAACUUCAAAUGGCCACAAACUGACUUUAAAUGCUGACCACAAAUACAAAAGAUUGCUUCUUAGCAUAAAGUCAGCUUUCUCCAAGUAAGCAUUUUGUUGAUACAGACACAUAAUUGAAAAGCUUAAACUUUGACAAGGUAUAUUUAUUUAUCUUUUAGAAACAUGAAGCUACACCACCAGCAGGGACAUAAGCAAUCAGUAAUAUGUGGUAUAGAAUCGAAUAUGUUUGCACAUUAACAAAUGCUUACCUAUAAAGCUGCUCAACAAGCA